CCUACGGGAGGCAGCAGUGGGGAAUUUUGGACAAUGGGCGCAAGCCUGAUCCAGCAAUGCCGCGUGAGUGAAGAAGGCCUUCGGGUUGUAAAGCUCUUUUGUCAGGGAAGAAACGGUGGGAGCUAAUAUCUCUUGCUAAUGACGGUACCUGAAGAAUAAGCACCGGCUAACUACGUGCCAGCAGCCGCGGUAAUACGUAGGGUGCAAGCGUUAAUCGGAAUUACUGGGCGUAAAGCGUGCGCAGGCGGUUUUGUAAGUUUGUCGUGAAAUCCCCGGGCUCAACCUGGGAAUGGCGAUGAAGACUGCAAGGCUAGAAUCUGGCAGAGGGGGGUAGAAUUCCACGUGUAGCAGUGAAAUGCGUAGAGAUGUGGAGGAACACCGAUGGCGAAGGCAGCCCCCUGGGUCAAGAUUGACGCUCAUGCACGAAAGCGUGGGGAGCAAACAGGAUUAGAUACCCUGGUAGUCCACGCCCUAAACGAUGUCUACUAGUUGUCGGGUUUUAAUUAACUUGGUAACGCAGCUAACGCGUGAAGUAGACCGCCUGGGGAGUACGGUCGCAAGAUUAAAACUCAAAUUGAAUUGACGG
Molecule: ribosomal RNA, 586 nt
Filed under: uncultured bacterium
Lineage: Bacteria
Description: bacterial SSU rRNA
Rfam family: Bacterial small subunit ribosomal RNA
Source: RNAcentral